UCGAACGGCAGCACGGGGGCAACCCUGGUGGCGAGUGGCGAACGGGUGAGUAAUACAUCGGAACGUGUCCUGGAGUGGGGGAUAGCCCGGCGAAAGCCGGAUUAAUACCGCAUACGCUCUGAGGAGGAAAGGGGGGGAUCGCAAGACCUCUCGCUCAAGGGGCGGCCGAUGGCAGAUUAGGUAGUUGGUGGGGUAAAGGCCUACCAAGCCGACGAUCUGUAGCUGGUCUGAGAGGACGACCAGCCACACUGGGACUGAGACACGGCCCAGACUCCUACGGGAGGCAGCAGUGGGGAAUUUUGGACAAUGGGCGCAAGCCUGAUCCAGCAAUGCCGCGUGUGUGAAGAAGGCCUUCGGGUUGUAAAGCACUUUUGUCCGGAAAGAAAACUUCUGUCCUAAUACGGCGGGGGGAUGACGGUACCGGAAGAAUAAGCACCGGCUAACUACGUG
Molecule: ribosomal RNA, 450 nt
Filed under: Burkholderia sp. BSNF1(5)
Lineage: Bacteria; Pseudomonadati; Pseudomonadota; Betaproteobacteria; Burkholderiales; Burkholderiaceae
Description: bacterial SSU rRNA
Rfam family: Bacterial small subunit ribosomal RNA
Source: RNAcentral